RNAcentral lists this ribosomal RNA (302 nucleotides) under uncultured bacterium. RNAcentral's name for it is "partial 16S ribosomal RNA". It matches the Rfam family "Bacterial small subunit ribosomal RNA", at positions 508 to 807 of the family's 1533-position model. The record is from RNAcentral.
GCAGUCGCCGCGGUAAUACGUAGGGUGCAAGCGUUAAUCGGAAUUACUGGGCGUAAAGCGUGCGCAGGCGGCUUUGCAAGACAGAUGUGAAAUCCCCGGGCUCAACCUGGGAACUGCAUUUGUGACUGCAUGGCUAGAGUACGGUAGAGGGGGAUGGAAUUCCGCGUGUAGCAGUGAAAUGCGUAGAUAUGCGGAGGAACACCGAUGGCGAAGGCAAUCCCCUGGACCUGUACUGACGCUCAUGCACGAAAGCGUGGGGAGCAAACAGGAUUAGAUACCCCUGUAGUCCCUGUCUCUUAUAC